CUUCUCGAGCCCUAAGUUUUUCUUCUGUUCUUCUUGCCGGCAGAAAAAUCUUGAAACGUUACAGAGUUUGAAUGAAUCGAAGCGUCAGCUUCAAUGGAGUCAGUAAUAAUUGUUCUCCACACCUCACACCUCACACAAUCUCUCAUCGAAUGCAUCCUCUAUUACUUUCUUUUUUCAGAAUCUUCACCUAUAAAAACGUGUCAAGAAGCCCAUGAAGUGAGAAGGACGUAGCAAAGCAUCUGCAAAGGAACCAAACUAAACAAAGGUCAAACAAGUGUCUUCUUCGUUUUCAUGUAAUAUUUCCGUAGGAGUUUCAAGAUGGAGAAUCCUAAGGAACAAAUAUAUUGCUGCUUUGCUGUGAGUGGCUCCUUCUCACUUUGAAGGUUCUUUUGUAACUUAGCCUCUUGAUCUUGAUUGGCACUUUGGCGUUGAAUUUGAAUGCAAAAACAGAAGAAGGCACCUUAUGUUGCUAAGGCUGAAAAGUGCAAGGUUGACUACGUGAAGAACAUGAAAGACUACAACAAAUACCGGAUAUUAAGGAGGAAGGCCGAAAGGAAGAUGAGGCCAUUCAAUUAUAAUCUCAGAGUUUAAUGAUGACGACGAUGCUUAGGAUGGUAGUUAAGAGGUCUGGAAAGAACGUCACAGACCAGACCAAAUCAGAUGUGCAGAACCGGAGAAGAUCAAACCGAGAGAGGAUACCAAACCGUAAAUACUUGGGCUCUACGUAAUCAUGGGUUACGUAUUUCUUUAGUUGUUUAUUUGAAUGUUUAAAUAAGAAGAGACUUGGUCCUCCUUGUGUUUAGGAACCACCUCUUCCACCUUUCCCAAUUCCCUGUUGUGUAGGAGUGGAAACUCCAAAGUUAUUUCAGUUCUUCUAUUUAUUAAAUGAAAAACCCAAAAAGAGGUAGACUAUUCUACCCAAAACUACAA
Molecule: long non-coding RNA, 930 nt
Organism: Brassica oleracea var. oleracea
Lineage: Eukaryota; Viridiplantae; Streptophyta; Magnoliopsida; Brassicales; Brassicaceae
Exons: 6
Source: RefSeq, a predicted model, not a curated record